Molecule: ribosomal RNA, 468 nt
Filed under: uncultured bacterium
Lineage: Bacteria
Description: partial 16S ribosomal RNA
Rfam family: Bacterial small subunit ribosomal RNA
Source: RNAcentral
GACGAACGCUGGCGGCGUGCUUAACACAUGCAAGUCGAACGGAAAGGCCCUGCUUUUGUGGGGUGCUCGAGUGGCGAACGGGUGAGUAACACGUGAGUAACCUGCCCUUGACUUUGGGAUAUCUUCAGGAAACUGGGGCUAAUACCGGAUAGGAGCUCCUGCUGCAUGGUGGGGGUUGGAAAGUUUCGGCGGUUGGGGAUGGACUCGCGGCUUAUCAGCUUGUUGGUGGGGUAGUGGCUUACCAAGGCUUUGACGGGUAGCCGGCCUGAGAGGGUGACCGGCCACAUUGGGACUGAGAUACGGCCCAGACUCCUACGGGAGGCAGCAGUGGGGAAUAUUGCACAGUGGGCGGAAGCCUGAUGCAGCAACGCCGCGUGCGGGAUGACGGCCUUCGGGUUGUAAACCGCUUUCGCCUGUGACGAAGCGUGAGUGACGGUAAUGGGUAAAGAAGCACUGGCUAACUACGUG